CCUAAAGAACCUACUAUCGUGUGUAAUACCAUCAUAUCAGCUGCUGUUAACUAUCAGUACCUGAAUUUUGGAGGGAACACAUUCAAACUAUAGCAUUUAUUUAGGCUAAAAAGAUAGUUCAUUGUCAGUGUAUGAAAAACCUACUGAUUUUUUACGUUGAUUUUAUAUACUGCAACUUUAUUGAAUUCUCAACAAAUGGUGUUGAAAAAACUGGAUGUCCUCAUGAAGAAGACUGAAAUUGAACACAUCACAUCCCAUAUACAAGAAUCAACUCAAAGUGCAGACCAGAUUUAUU
This is a long non-coding RNA of Gorilla gorilla gorilla (western lowland gorilla), 295 nucleotides long. RefSeq lists it as uncharacterized. The record is from RefSeq and is a predicted model, not a curated record. The transcript is spliced from 3 exons. NCBI's taxonomy places the organism in Eukaryota, Metazoa, Chordata, Mammalia, Primates, Hominidae.